This is a non-coding RNA of Odocoileus virginianus texanus, 722 nucleotides long. Lineage: Eukaryota; Metazoa; Chordata; Mammalia; Artiodactyla; Cervidae. The record is from RefSeq and is a predicted model, not a curated record.
CAAAGAGUCAAACACGACUGACUGUGCACACAAGCGUGCACAACUGUGUCAUAAACCAUGUAACAAAGCAAGUAGAGAUUAUGUUAGAUGCUGUUAUUAAGGGAAAAAAUUAAAAUCCGAGUGGGAUGGUGGGUGCCUGGAUAGGCCUGAGGGGCUGCAAGUUUAAAGCCUUAUUGAGAAGGUGCAUCUCAAGAGAAGGAAAAGAGAGAGGCGCGCGGAUACAGGGAGAGCAGCAUUCCACGCAGGAAACUUUUCAGUACAAUCAUCCCAAGAAGUGAUCUAAUCAAUAUAAAGGUCUUUGGCAGCCCCCAAAGGAGAUAUUGCAACUAGAAUCCAACUGGGUAACUUGAAAGAGUAAGACAGAAAAGGAGGGAAAUCCAAUCCAAGGUGCAUUAUUAAGCGGCAAUUUAUCUCUCUAGAAGAAAAGACUUCCUGGUGUUGCUGCUAAGCUCGAGGGGACCAGCGUCCUUAAUGACAGGCCAGUCCAGCCCAGAUUCUAAAUGUUACUAGGCCGACCACCCUAGGGGGAGCGAUUCUCUUCGCCACAACCCCAGCCCGGGAGUGGAGCUGGCAACCGUCCAUCUUGCAGUGUUGACUCAUGCCUGAAUCACAGCCAGGCUGGCAGGAUGUUGUUUUGGGGAAGUUCACAGGCCUGUCAAAAACCUGCUGUUGCCAUUGGUUGAUAUUAUGCAAGAUUCCAAAUGAUAUUUAUUUAUAUUCUC